This 391-nucleotide long non-coding RNA is filed under the name Capsella grandiflora. RNAcentral's name for it is "long non-coding RNA (CGRA_LNC001612)". The record is from RNAcentral. Lineage: Eukaryota; Viridiplantae; Streptophyta; Magnoliopsida; Brassicales; Brassicaceae.
GGGCUGAAACUUGACCCCUGCAUAGAGCUUCAUGUAGUCAUCAAAGACGAAACUCGGGUAGUCUGAAUCUUUCUCGACGAGUGAUGUAGCUGGAGCAAUCUCAGCAUCACUUCCCGGAUUGUAGAACGAUGCAAUCGACAUUCUGUUUCCUUCCUUCUGAGUCACUACACGGUGCAUCACACUCUUGUACUUGCCGUUGGUUAUCACCUACACUCAAUCAAGAUUAUACAUUGUCAGGUUAAACAAAAUAUCGAAUCGGUUUAGCUGUACCAAAUAAGAGGCUGCUCGAUCUUCCGGUUUAACUCGACUAAACCAAAACCCGAAUUUUCAAUACCAACACAUUGGUUUUUGGUUCUUGGCAAAAAAGAUCUUUUGAAAAAUGUAAAUGUGA